This 693-nucleotide ribosomal RNA is filed under the name uncultured bacterium. RNAcentral's name for it is "bacterial SSU rRNA". It matches the Rfam family "Bacterial small subunit ribosomal RNA", at positions 31 to 715 of the family's 1533-position model. The record is from RNAcentral.
GAACGCUGGCGGCAGGCUUAACACAUGCAAGUCGAGCGGAAACGAAGGUAGCUUGCUACCAGGCGUCGAGCGGCGGACGGGUGAGUAAUGCUUAGGAAUCUACCGAGUAGUGGGGGAUAGCCAUUGGAAACGAUGAUUAAUACCGCAUAUAUCCUACGGGGGAAAGCAGGGGACCUUCGGGCCUUGCGCUAUUCGAUGAGCCUGAGUGAGAUUAGCUAGUUGGUGGGGUAAAGGCCUACCAAGGCGACGAUCUCUAGCUGGUCUGAGAGGAUGAUCAGCCACACUGGGACUGAGACACGGCCCAGACUCCUACGGGAGGCAGCAGUGGGGAAUAUUGCACAAUGGACGAAAGUCUGAUGCAGCCAUGCCGCGUGUGUGAAGAAGGCCUUCGGGUUGUGAAGCACUUUCAGCGAGGAGGAAAGGUCAGUAAGUAAUAUUUGCUGGCUGUGACGUUACUCGCAGAAGAAGCACCGGCUAAUUUAGUGCCAGCAGCCGCGGUAAUACUAAAGGUGCAAGCGUUAAUCGGAAUUACUGGGCGUAAAGCGCGCGUAGGUGGUUUGUUAAGUUGGAUGUGAAAGCCCAGGGCUCAACCUUGGAACUGCAUUCAAAACUGACUCACUAGAGUACGAGAGAGGUUAGUGGAAUUUCCUGUGUAGCGGUGAAAUGCGUAGAGAUGGGAAGGAACACCAGUGG